Ailuropoda melanoleuca (giant panda) is the source of this 1685-nucleotide long non-coding RNA. Lineage: Eukaryota; Metazoa; Chordata; Mammalia; Carnivora; Ursidae. The record is from Ensembl.
CCUUCAGCCUUGUUGUUGAGCUGCGUCUCCUUGUUGUAGAACAGUUCCUCUUGUGUCUCCGUGGAGAACUUGAGGUUGGGGCCCUUCACGAUGUGUUCCACAGGGCGGGCCUCCGGUAGCAGCUGCACUAGAUGCACUUGGCCUUGUCGAUGUCAUAGCGGGUGGUCCUGCAGGUGACGUGGGUCUCGCUGGUGAUGGCCUCGUAGGGGCAGAGCGCCAGGCAGAGCUGGCCCACGGUGCAGCGCUCCUCUCCUCUCCCCAUGGAUGGAUGCAUGGCGGCGCAGUGCAUGCUCCCCGUGGAAGCACGGACCCAGCGGGCCUUUCUCAGCAUCCUUCCCAGAACAGAGUGGCUGGGUCCAGAGGUGCUUCGACCUCAGAUGCAUGAUGAGUCCAAGCAUCCACCAUGUUACAUCUGGACCACUAGCCUGAAUUGUGUUUGCCUAUUAAUAAUACUCUUGAGAGUUCCUAAGAGCAGCAGCUGGGGCCACGGGGACUGUGAAGAAAACCAAAACCACAAUCUCAGAACCUCUCCUAUUGCAUAAUCAAGAUGUGAAUCACUGUAACUGCUGAGACGCUGACCCCUGCAAAGAAAACCUUCUAACCAAUCUGUGUAGCAACCAAAGAGACCCCAAGUUAUAGCUGUUAUUCCAGAAAUUACUGUAUUUAAGCCAGGAACUCAGAGUUUUAUCUACACGGAAUGUUAUUGUUGAUCAUUUGACCUCACUGUUGAGACAGAGUGAGUUGAUGUUCCUUGCCAAAUAGCUGAGGAAGACAAAGUCUAUGCCUUCACAGCAUUGUUUAAAAAAAAAAAAUUUCUACAGAAAAUCUUCAGUCACUUCCCCACUCAAUAAAAAUUUAGAAUUAAAGCAAAAGUGUAUCAGUCAGGAUUCUUAGUUGCAAACAUCAGAAACUAGCUCCAACAGAUUUAAACAGAAAAAUAAUUUAUCAGAAGAACUGUGGAAAUGACCCUGACGUCUGUUUAAAUAAAAUGGAUAAAUUGUGAUAUACAAUGAAAUAUACAACAAUGAAAAAAGAACAAACCGUCAAUAUGCACAACAGUAUGAAUGUAGCAUAUAGAAAUAAUAUUGAGUUAAGAAGCCAAACAGUAUAUAUUUCCAUUUACAUUAAGUUCAGAAACAGGCAAAACAAAUCCAUGGUGUUAGCAUCAGUGUAGUGGUUAAUCUGCGGUGGAAGAAGGGCUAACAGGAGCCAUGAGGAGGGAUUCGGGGUGCUGGUUAGACAGGUAUGCUCAGUUUGGAAAAUUCAUUGAGCCAUGCACACUUGAUACAUAUUCUUUUCUCUAUGUAUGUCUUCGUGAAAGUCACACAGAAAGAAAUCAACAGACGGGCUAUUAGUAGGUCAAAAUAUCACCAGUAAGUGCUGGAGACACAGGUUUGGGACUGUAAGUCCAAGCAUGCCUUCCAAAUCUGGCACAAAACUUGAAUGAGUACAUCUUGCUGCGGCCACUGAGCAGCAGAUGAUGUCCUUUGCUUUGCAGACCCUGCGCCUGGGACAUACAUGUACCCCUAUCUGACAUUUGGUUAUAUGUGCAUUUGUUUAUUUCCUGUCUCCUCAACUAGAAUGUGAGCUCACUGCUGGCACAAAAUAGGUACUCAGAAAACAUUUAUUGAAUGAAUCUAACUGCCUUGUUCAUAACUGAGCAGGGUUCCCCAUCUCAUGGACGC